RNAcentral lists this ribosomal RNA (253 nucleotides) under uncultured bacterium. RNAcentral's name for it is "partial 16S ribosomal RNA". It matches the Rfam family "Bacterial small subunit ribosomal RNA", at positions 524 to 776 of the family's 1533-position model. The record is from RNAcentral.
UACGUAGGGUGCGAGCGUUGUCCGGAAUUAUUGGGCGUAAAGAGCUCGUAGGCGGUUCGUCGCGUCGAAUGUGAAAACCCGGGGCUCAACUCCGGGCCUGCAUUCGAUACGGGCGGACUAGAGUUCGGUAGGGGAGACUGGAAUUCCUGGUGUAGCGGUGAAAUGCGCAGAUAUCAGGAGGAACACCGGUGGCGAAGGCGGGUCUCUGGGCCGAUACUGACGCUGAGGAGCGAAAGCGCGGGGAGCGAACAGG